RNAcentral lists this long non-coding RNA (1166 nucleotides) under Felis catus (domestic cat). RNAcentral's name for it is "lncRNA (ENSFCAG00000050378.1)". The record is from RNAcentral. Lineage: Eukaryota; Metazoa; Chordata; Mammalia; Carnivora; Felidae.
AGACCGCCCCCUCCCGCGGGUCCCCGGAGUGUGGAGGGGAAGACGCCGGAGGAUCAGAAGAGGGACGGACGUCCAUCCCAGAGCCCACUGCCGGGCCCCGACACCCAACAGGAGGGACCUUUUCUCAGGAACAGCAGAAAUCUCCACCCUGGCAGGGUGGGCACCGUUGUCUACAAGAAACUCCCAGAGACCCAAGACCUCUUCAGCCACAGCACCGGAUCUACACGGAUCUCUUUCCCAGCCGGCUCUGAAAACAACCAGACGGAACACAACUGGGCCUUUCAGGCAAACCUCUGCCAGUUCAAAAGCGUCCCUGCGCGGAUCAGAAAGGCAGGACAGCGCCCCCGGGGGCUGGGCUCCUGCACCAACCGGCACCCUGCUCAGCGCGAAACCCUCACAAGGGUGCCGUCCCCCAAACAACAAGCCCCUCAUUGUUACCUGAUGCAGAAGACCAGCGCAGGGGUUUGUAAAACCUCAUCCUUGACUCAAUGUUGGAAGCCGUAUUUGUUUGGGGGGAUAAACUGUCCUGCGAGUGUUUUGUUAUUUCGGUGCACAAAUGACAAACACCGGGGACGCGGGUCUGGAAACCUGGGGCUUUGCACAUACAAACCAGGGUGGGUGGCAACAGAUCCUCACUUCGUGGGCGGCAGGCCCGCUGUCUUUUAUCAGUUGUGUCCAAACGGCCGCCAUCUUCAUUUUCUGAACCAGGAAGAUGAGCGUGUGCAAAGUUAAGGGACUUGGCAAUGUCCACCCUGCGGGCCCGGCUGGUCUCGGACCCCUCCUGGGUCAGACCUAGGAGCCCCUGCCCGUCCCCAGCAGGUGGGGGUCAUGCACGCCAGCUGGGUCUGGCCCCUCCCUCCCAGGUUCUGCCUCUGAUACCCUUGUUCCACCGCAAGGUUUAGGGUCCUGCUUUGGUGGUGCCUGUGGGGUUCAGUCUGUUCGUUCAAGUUCGGCCCAGGUCAUGAUCUCACGGUUCGUGGGUUCGAGCCCCGCGUCGGGCUCUGGGCUGACGGCUCGGAGCCCGGAGCCUGCUUCGGAUUCUGUGUCUCCUUCUCUCUGUGCCCCCAACCCACUCACGCUCUGUCUCUCUCUCAAAAAUAAGUUAACAGCAAAAAAACAAAAAUUUUUUUUUUUUUUUUAAAUAAAACACUGCUUUGGAAGUUACA